GUGAAUCAUCGAAUCUUUGAACGCAAAUUGCACUCUCUUCGGAGAGUAUGCCUGUUUGAGGGUCAGCCUAUAAAAAAUCGACAUCGUUGCUGUUUCGCGGUGGCGUUCGUCGGCCGUUGGGUCAUCUUAAAUCAUUUGGUUUUAAGCGACUUAAAAUUUUCUUUUUGUUUCCAUGAUUGUUUCUAAGAUUUAUUUCUUUUCACGUUUUAGGUAUCGAUUUUUAUUAGCUGUGAACAUCAUAUCGCAUCGUGCCUAUUAUCUUUCAUUAAAUGACCUUAGUCAGGUAAGAG
Molecule: unclassified non-coding RNA, 290 nt
Filed under: Glomus sp.
Lineage: Eukaryota; Fungi; Glomeromycota; Glomeromycetes; Glomerales; Glomeraceae
Description: partial contains 5.8S ribosomal RNA and internal transcribed spacer 2
Rfam family: 5.8S ribosomal RNA (bases 1-65)
Source: RNAcentral